Molecule: ribosomal RNA, 471 nt
Filed under: uncultured bacterium
Lineage: Bacteria
Description: SSU rRNA
Rfam family: Bacterial small subunit ribosomal RNA
Source: RNAcentral
AGGACGAACGCUGGCGGCGUGCCUAACACAUGCAAGUCGAACGGAGCCCGCAAGGGUUCAGUGGCGAACGGGUGCGUAACACGUGAGGAACUUGUCCAUCGGCGGGGGAUAGCCGGCCCAACGGCCGGGUAAUACCGCGUACGCCGUCCGGAGCGCAUGCUCUGGCCGGGAAAGCAGCAAUGCACCGAUGGAGAGCCUCGCGGCCUAUCAGCUAGUUGGUGGGGUAAUGGCCUACCAAGGCGACGACGGGUAGCUGGUCUGAGAGGAUGACCAGCCACAUUGGGACUGAGACACGGCCCAGACUCCUACGGGAGGCAGCAGUGGGGAAUAUUGCGCAAUGGGCGAAAGCCUGACGCAGCGACGCCGCGUGUGGGAUGACGGCCUUCGGGUUGUAACCACUGUCGCGAGGGACGAAGAUCUGACGGUACCUCGAAAGGAAGCACCGGCUAACUCUGCGCCAGCAGCCGCGGU